AGAGUUUGAUCCUGGCUCAGAUUGAACGCUGGCGGCGUGCUUAACACAUGCAAGUCGAACGAGAAAGGGGCUUCGGCCCUGAGUAGAGUGGCGCACGGGUGAGUAACGCGUAAGUAACCUACCUCUAUAUCUGGGAUAACACUUCGAAAGGGGUGCUAAUACCGGGUACACUCAUUGUCCGCGAGGAUGGUGAGGAAAGGUGACCUCUUCAAGAAAGUUGCCGUAUAGGGAGGGGCUUGCGUACCAUUAGCUGGUUGGUGGGGUAACGGCCUACCAAGGCGACGAUGGUUAGCGGGUCUGAGAGGAUGAUCCGCCACACUGGAACUGGAACACGGACCAGACUCCUACGGGAGGCAGCAGUGAGGAAUAUUGCGCAAUGGGGGCAACCCUGACGCAGCGACGCCGCGUGAGUGAAGAAGGCCUUCGGGUUGUAAAGCUCUGUCAGCAGGGAAGAAGUGCCAGAUGGCUA
This 469-nucleotide ribosomal RNA is filed under the name uncultured bacterium. Its description in RNAcentral is "bacterial SSU rRNA". It matches the Rfam family "Bacterial small subunit ribosomal RNA", at positions 8 to 463 of the family's 1533-position model. The record is from RNAcentral.